AUUGAACGCUGGCGGCGUGCUUAACACAUGCAAGUCGAACGAAGUGGAGAACGGGUGAGUAACGCGUAAUCAACCUGCCCUUCAGAGGGGGACAACAGUUGGACCCGACUGCUAAUACCGCAUACUGAAGGUGGGGAUUGCGUCUGAUUAGCUAGUUGGAGGGGUAACGGCCCACCAAGGCGAUGAUCAGUAGCCGGGCUGAGAGGAUGAACGGCAACAUGGGGACUGAGUCACGGCCCAGACGCCUACGGGUGGCAGCAGUGGGGAAUCUUCCGCAAUGGACGAAAGUCUGACGAUGCAACGCCGCGGGAGUGAUGACGGCCUUCGGGUUGUAAAGCUCUGUUAAUCGGGACGCGGUACCGGAAUAGAAAGCCACGGCUAACUCCGUGCCACCAGCCGCGGUAAUAC
Molecule: ribosomal RNA, 408 nt
Filed under: uncultured bacterium
Lineage: Bacteria
Description: partial 16S ribosomal RNA
Rfam family: Bacterial small subunit ribosomal RNA
Source: RNAcentral